AUGCGGACAAAGAUGGCAUUGCGCGUGCCGCAGAUGCGUCCAGCCUUGGAGAGACCCGAGGUGACACAUGAGACAAGCUCACCACAUCGGAAGGGAGUGGAACCGCGCACUUGGGGUGGGAUAGCAUCCAUCAUGUUCCAGCAGCAGCAGCCGCCGCAGCGCCAGCAGCAGCAGGAGGACGUGAUGUCGUCGGCGACGUCCUCGCCGGCGUCGACGCUGUACUCUCCCACGCCGUACGCUUUCGCGGGGACGUCGGUGCAGGAGCUGAGCUCGGACCAGUGCAGCGUGCGCCUCAUCAGCCUGCUGUACCAGUGCGCCUCCGAGGUGGCCGCCGGCGAGUUCGACCGCGCUAACCUCUGCCUGGAGCAUAUCAUGCAGCUCGCGUCGCUGGACGCGCCUCACACGCUGCAGCGCCUCGCCGCCGUCUUUGCGGACGCGCUGGCCUGCAAGCUGCUGAAGCUCCUGCCGGGCCUCUCGCGGGCGCUCCUCUCGUCUUCGAGCUCCGACGACGCCCACCUCGUCCCGGCCGCGCGCCGCCACAUGUUCGACAUGCUCCCGUUCCUGAAGCUCGCGUACCUGACCACCAACCACGCCAUCAUCGAGGCCAUGGAGGGCGAGCGGUUCGUCCACGUCGUCGACCUCUCCGGCCCUGCUGCCAACCCCGCGCAGUGGAUCGCGCUGUUCCACGCAUUCCGUGGCCGGCGCGACGGCACGCCGAAUCUCCGCAUCACCGCCGUCCACGAGAGCAAGGAGUUCCUCGCUGGCAUGUCCGCGGUGCUCGUCAGGGAGGCCGAGGCGUUCGACAUCCCGUUCCAGUUCAACGCCGUCGAGGCGAGGCUCGAGGACAUGGACUUGGACGCGCUCCGGCACAACCUCCGCGUCAGGUCCGGCGAGGCGCUCGCGGUGAGCGUAGCGCUGCAGCUGCACCGCCUCCUCGCGGCCGACGACACCGGAGGCAGGCGGCAGGGCGGCCUCACCCCGCUCCAGAUCGUCGCGCGGUCCAGCCCGAGCAGCUUCGGGGAGCUCCUGGAGCGGGAACUGAACACGCGGCUACAGCUGAGCCCCGACGCGUCCGCGUUCUCCUCCAUGUCGCCGCAGUCCCCGAUAGGCGGCCACUUCCCCGCCGGAGGGCAGCAGAGGCCCAAGAUCGGGUCCUUCCUGUCGGCGGUGAAGGCGCUGUCUCCCAAGAUCAUGGUGGUGACGGAGCAGGAGGCGAACCACAACGGGGCGGCGUUCCACGAGAGGUUCGACGAGGCGCUCAACUACUAUGCGUCGCUGUUCGACUGCCUGGAGCGCGCGGCGGCGGCGCAGCGGGGCAGCGCGGCGGCGGAGCGGGCGCGGGUGGAGCGGUCGGUGCUGGGGGAGGAGAUCAGGAGCAUCGUGGCGUGCGAGGGCGGGGAGCGGAAGGAGCGGCACGAGCGGGCGCGGCAGUGGGCGGGGAGGAUGGAGGCGGCGGGGAUGGAGCGGGUGGGGCUGAGCUACAGCGGCGCCAUGGAGGCGAGGAAGCUGCUGCAGAGGAGCGGGUGGGGCGGGUACGAGGUGAGGCACGACGCCGAGGGGCACUGCUUCUUCCUCUGCUGGCACAAGAAGCCGCUGUACGCCGUCACCGCUUGGAGGCCGGCGGGGUACCACCACUCCGGCGGCGCCAGGUCCAGGUGA
RNAcentral lists this ribosomal RNA (1659 nucleotides) under Triticum aestivum (bread wheat). Its description in RNAcentral is "partial small subunit ribosomal RNA". The record is from RNAcentral. Lineage: Eukaryota; Viridiplantae; Streptophyta; Magnoliopsida; Poales; Poaceae.